UAGGGAAUCUUCCACAAUGGACGAAAGUCUGAUGGAGCAACGCCGCGUGAGUGAAGAAGGGUUUCGGCUCGUAAAACACUGUUGUAAGAGAAGAAUGACAUUGAGAGUAACUGUUCAAUGUGUGACGGUAUCUUACCAGAAAGGAACGGCUAAAUACGUGCCCG
This 164-nucleotide ribosomal RNA is filed under the name uncultured bacterium. RNAcentral's name for it is "partial 16S ribosomal RNA". It matches the Rfam family "Bacterial small subunit ribosomal RNA", at positions 355 to 511 of the family's 1533-position model. The record is from RNAcentral.